AUGGAGUCAGAUCUGAUUUUUGGUGAAGUAGCAGAUAAGAACAGAUCAUUUGAAGACGCUGACGAAGAUGCUUUCAUCUUUGAGGAAAUUAGGGAUUCUUCGGAUGAUCAACAAGUAGAGCAGAUCAUGAUGUUGCAUCCUAAGGAGGGGAUGACGUUUGAUAGUGAGGAUGCUGCUGUUAGCUUCUACAAAGAUUAUGCCAAAAAAGAGGGCUUUGGUGUAAUAAGAAGAACCACUAGACAUGGAGAAGAUAGCAAGCUUGUUUAUUUUACUCUUGCUUGUAGCAGGCAAGGGAAGGCUCAAUAUUCAUCCAAGAACUCAUUUAAACCUAAUCCAUCAACGAGGAUGCAAUGCCCAGCUAAGGUUAAUUCCUCUCGUCGUGAGGAGAAGUUCUGCAUUACAUCUAUUACGCUUGACCACAAUCAUGCUAUAAGUCCAAGUAAAGCCAGAUUUCUGAGAUGUCACAAGAAACUGGACUUACAUGCCAAGAGAAGGCUGGAAUUGAAUGAUCAAGCAGGAAUCCGUCUGAAUAAAAAAAUUGGUUCUCUUAUUAUGGAAGCUGGUGGGUAUGGUAAUCUUGAGUUCGGUGAAAAGGAGUGCAGGAACUAUUUGCAAGAGACAAGAAGGCUGAAACUUGGUGCCGGAGAUGCACAUGUUGUCUACCAAUAUUUUCUUCGGAUGCAAUCAAAAGAUCCUGACUUUUUUCAUCUUAUGGAUGUGGAUAAGGAUGGAAGACUGAGAAAUGUCUUUUGGGCAGAUGCAAGAAGUAGGGCAGCAUAUGAAUCUUAUUGUGAUGUCAUCACAUUUGACACUACAUACUUAACAAACAAGUAUAGCAUGCCAUUUGCUCCCUUUGUUGGCGUAAAUCAUCAUGGAGAAUCAGUUCUGUUAGGUUGUGGCCUUCUAUCCAACGAAGACACCGACACUUUUGCGUGGUUAUUUAAAUCUUGGCUAUGUUGUAUGUCAAACAAACCACCAAAUGAUAUAAUCACUGACCAGUGCAAAGCAAUGCAGAAUGCUAUUGAAGAAGUUUUUCCUCAAGCUCGUCACAGAUGGUGUAUAUGGCAUAUCAUGAAGAAGAUUCCUGAAAAGCUUAGUGGGUAUGAUAAGUAUGAGAAUAUUAAAUAUACCUUGUCAAAUGUGGUGUAUGAUUCCUUGACAAAAUUUGAUUUUGACAAAGCUUGGGUGGAGAUGAUCAAUAAAUAUGAUCUUCACGAAAAUGAAUGGCUUGCCGGAUUAUAUGCUGAAAAAAGGUGGGUACCAGCAUAUGUAAAAGAUACUUUUUGGGCAGGGAUGUCUUCAACACAAAGGAGUGAGAGUGUGAAUGCCUUCUUUGAUGGGUAUGUUCACGCUAGAACAACUCUAAAGCAAUUUGUGGAGCAGUAUGAAAAUGCAUUAAGAGACAAGGUAGAGAAAGAAACCAAGGCUGUUUCUAAGUCGUUCCAAGAGGAAAUUCCAUGCAUUACUCAUUUUGAUUUCGAGAAGCAAUUUCAAGCAGCAUAUACCAAUGCAAAGUUUCAAGAGUUUCAAGAGCAAUUAAGAGGGAAAAUCUAUUGCUAUCCAUCUCUGCUAAACAAUGAAGGGCCACUUCUUACAUUUGGAGUUAGAGAGGACCGCAAGAUUUUUUUUGAAGGAGAAGAUGGCAGCAUUAAAGAGAAAUGGAUUACUUCAGAUUUCACUGUCUUGUUCAAGCAAGAGGAAUGUGAUGUGCAGUGUAUUUGUAGGCUUUUUGAACUCCGAGACAUCUUGUGUAGCCACAUCAUUACCGUGCUUGCUCUCAUGGGGAUCAAAGAUGUACCUUCUAGGUAUAUAUUGCAGCGAUGGAGAAAGGAUUUUAAGCGCAAACACUUAUUUAUUAAAUGCUCCUAUGAUGAUAUGUUGAAUACACCAGUUGUGCAGCGUUAUGAUGAAUUAUGCAAGCGUUCUCACGAAGUGGCAGAGAAAGGUGCAGAGUCCGAUGAAUUGCGUGACUUGGUGAUGGAUGGGCUUGAUCAGUUAGAAAGAAAGGUUGAUGCAUACCGUGCUAGCCAUGCUGUUCAAGUACAGGCAGAAGAUCCAACAUCAAAGCAUGAAGAUAUAAUGUUAAACAAAGAAAAACUUGUACUCAGUCCAAUCCCUGUUCGCAGUGUAGGCCGUCCUCGUUCAAAGAGAAAGAUAUCUAAAGUGGAUCAAGUGAUCCAAAAAUUGAGAGCAAAGAAGCGGCAGGUGCCAACAAGUACAACCAAAGUGUAG
RNAcentral lists this ribosomal RNA (2232 nucleotides) under Triticum aestivum (bread wheat). RNAcentral's name for it is "partial small subunit ribosomal RNA". Lineage: Eukaryota; Viridiplantae; Streptophyta; Magnoliopsida; Poales; Poaceae. The record is from RNAcentral.